AAAAGUAUGUGUAAAAUGACAAAGAGCACUCUGAUUGGCGGGCUUGCAAUGUAACCAAUCAGAGUGCUCUUUGUCAUUUUACACAGCAUGGGAA
Pelobates cultripes (western spadefoot toad) is the source of this 94-nucleotide non-coding RNA. NCBI's taxonomy places the organism in Eukaryota, Metazoa, Chordata, Amphibia, Anura, Pelobatidae. The record is from the annotation of a GenBank genome assembly.